UCCGGUUUGUCACCGGCAGUCUCCUUAGAGUUCCCACCAUUACGUGCUGGCAAAUAAGGACAAGGGUUGCGCUCGUUACGGGACUUAACCCAACAUUUCACAACACGAGCUGACGACAGCCAUGCAGCACCUGUCACUGCGCUCCCGAAGGCACCCAGGUAUCUCUACCCGGUUCGCAGGAUGUCAAGAGUAGGUAAGGUUCUUCGCGUUGCGUCGAAUUAAACCACAUGCUCCACCGCUUGUGCGGGCCCCCGUCAAUUCAUUUGAGUUUUAACCUUGCGGCCGUACUCCCCAGGCGGUCUACUUAUCGCGUUAGCUGCGCCACUAAGAAAUCAAGUCUCCCAACGGCUAGUAGACAUCGUUUACGGCGUGGACUAC
Molecule: unclassified non-coding RNA, 378 nt
Filed under: uncultured Gammaproteobacteria bacterium
Lineage: Bacteria; Pseudomonadati; Pseudomonadota; Gammaproteobacteria
Description: contains 16S-23S intergenic spacer region
Source: RNAcentral